This 434-nucleotide ribosomal RNA is filed under the name Escherichia coli. RNAcentral describes it as "partial 23S ribosomal RNA". It matches the Rfam family "Bacterial large subunit ribosomal RNA", at positions 2415 to 2843 of the family's 2925-position model. The record is from RNAcentral. Lineage: Bacteria; Pseudomonadati; Pseudomonadota; Gammaproteobacteria; Enterobacterales; Enterobacteriaceae.
GUGAUCCGGUGGUUCUGAAUGGAAGGGCCAUCGCUCAACGGAUAAAAGGUACUCCGGGGAUAACAGGCUGAUACCGCCCAAGAGUUCAUAUCGACGGCGGUGUUUGGCACCUCGAUGUCGGCUCAUCACAUCCUGGGGCUGAAGUAGGUCCCAAGGGUAUGGCUGUUCGCCAUUUAAAGUGGUACGCGAGCUGGGUUUAGAACGUCGUGAGACAGUUCGGUCCCUAUCUGCCGUGGGCGCUGGAGAACUGAGGGGGGCUGCUCCUAGUACGAGAGGACCGGAGUGGACGCAUCACUGGUGUUCGGGUUGUCAUGCCAAUGGCACUGCCCGGUAGCUAAAUGCGGAAGAGAUAAGUGCUGAAAGCAUCUAAGCACGAAACUUGCCCCGAGAUGAGUUCUCCCUGACUCCUUGAGAGUCCUGAAGGAACGUUGAAG